AUGAAGAAUAAUUAGUGGCAGACGGGUGAGUAAUGCAUAGGAAUCUACCUAGUAGUAUGGGAUAGCCACUAGAAAUGGUGGGUAAUACUGUAUAAUCCCUGAGGGGGAAAGAUUUAUCGCUAUUAGAUGAGCCUAUGUUAGAUUAGCUAGUUGGUAGGGUAAAGGCCUACCAAGGCGAUGAUCUAUAGCUGGUCUGAGAGGAUGAUCAGCCACACUGGAACUGAGAUACGGUCCAGACUCCUACGGGAGGCAGCAGUGGGGAAUAUUGGACAAUGGGCGCAAGCCUGAUCCAGCUAUGCCGCGUGAGUGAGGAAGGCCUUAGGGUUGUAAAACUCUUUCAGUAGGGAAGAUAAUGACGGUACCUACAGAAGAAGUCCCGGCAAACUCCGUGCCAGCAGCCGCGGUAAUACGGAGGGGGCAAGCGUUGUUCGGAAUUAUUGGGCGUAAAGGGCAUGUAGGCGGUUCGGUAAGUUAAAGGUGAAAUGCCAGGGCUUAAC
This 497-nucleotide ribosomal RNA is filed under the name Anaplasma phagocytophilum. RNAcentral's name for it is "bacterial SSU rRNA". It matches the Rfam family "Bacterial small subunit ribosomal RNA", at positions 81 to 613 of the family's 1533-position model. Lineage: Bacteria; Pseudomonadati; Pseudomonadota; Alphaproteobacteria; Rickettsiales; Anaplasmataceae. The record is from RNAcentral. RNAcentral also lists the same sequence under 1 other name.